RNAcentral lists this long non-coding RNA (677 nucleotides) under Brassica rapa (field mustard). Its description in RNAcentral is "long non-coding RNA (BRAP_LNC008273)". Lineage: Eukaryota; Viridiplantae; Streptophyta; Magnoliopsida; Brassicales; Brassicaceae. The record is from RNAcentral.
UUGAAUAUCGACCGAUUAGAGCAUGUCGAUAUCGAUCGACAGUACAUCACCUGCAGCGACCGAUGGUAACUCUUUUCCAUCGAUCGACACUUAAUAUGGUCAGGUAUAUCGUUCUUACUUGUUAAAUUUUGUACUUCUGCUUUUUGAUUUUCCCCUUACCACCGACUGUGUUACACUGGGGACAGUGUAAUUUAAGUAUGGGGGAUUACUAACGUUUAUCUACUUUUAUGAAUCUUAUUUAAAACAUUUUCAAAAUUUGUUUUUAUUGAGUCAAGAAGGGGAUGAUGAUCUAGACUUACUGAUUGCAGAAAGUACUAAAGAUACUAAAGUUGAUCAACCUGUCAACUAUGUUCACACUUGCUGAGAUUGUUUGAAGGAACCGAAGCUGACCUCCAACCUAAUUUGACUUAACUGCUUGUCUUGGGGCUUGGUAUACACUGGAUCGGAUUCCUCCUUCAGGUCUGAAAGGUAAAAGUCUGAGUGAUUUUGGUUUCGUUCUCUCCUCCCUUUGGCAUCCUAAUAAAAUAAAAUAAAAGAUUGAGAUGAUUUCUUACGGUUUAGAGGGGUAGGUACAUUACCGAUGACCUCAUUAUUCUACUCUAAUAGAAUGAUCACACAUUGUUGGAAGCGAGGGGUAGGUACAUUACCGAUCACCCCACUAUUCGCCUACACUUUGU